This 75-nucleotide transfer RNA is filed under the name bacterium. RNAcentral's name for it is "tRNA-Val". It matches the Rfam family "tRNA". Rfam says of the family: Transfer RNA (tRNA) molecules are approximately 80 nucleotides in length. The record is from RNAcentral. RNAcentral also lists the same sequence under 2 other names.
GGGCGCUUAGCUCAGCGGGAGAGCGCUUCCCUGACACGGAAGAGGUCACUGGUUCGAUCCCAGUAGCGCCCACCA